This is a long non-coding RNA of Lynx canadensis (Canada lynx), 568 nucleotides long. RefSeq lists it as uncharacterized. The record is from RefSeq and is a predicted model, not a curated record. Lineage: Eukaryota; Metazoa; Chordata; Mammalia; Carnivora; Felidae. The transcript is spliced from 3 exons.
ACCCCUCAUCCCUCCCACCUUUCCCACCCCCUGCCCCUCCUUACCUUCCUUCCCACCCUGGAGGUUGUGAAACUUCCUUUGCCCCCUGCUUCAUAAGGUCAAGAAGACAAGGCUUGAAGUGUACUUUUUCAUCACACCUGAGUAUGACUCAACCCUUCAAAGCUUCACAACCAGCCGCCGCUCUCCUCAUUGAGGAUAUAAGGAUAUCGAGUAUCUUUUUCCGGAAGUGACUCCCCCACCCUUGUGGAAAUCUGCAAAAGGGGGGCCUCCCCCCCCAGAAAACAGGGAAAAGACGACAGAUUGCCCUUCAAGUCCCUGGGGUUCCCAGUGCCGUGAGCGGUUCUUGUCUCCGCAUCUCUUGUCUCCGCUGAGCCACUGGAGAAUGACCGCUUCGGAGCCUACGGGUGGCUGUGUAUCUGUGCAGAUGAGGAAACUGAAACUCAGAAGUCGGUGAUUUGCUUAAAGUUAUAUAUACCAAGCAAGUGGGCUCUCUCCUAAGCAGAUUUCUCUCUAGCCCAAGGAAGAAUUUUUUUUUUAACAUUUAUUUAUCUUUGAGAGACAGAGACAG